This 351-nucleotide ribosomal RNA is filed under the name uncultured bacterium. RNAcentral's name for it is "partial 16S ribosomal RNA". It matches the Rfam family "Bacterial small subunit ribosomal RNA", at positions 338 to 686 of the family's 1533-position model. The record is from RNAcentral.
CCUACGGGAGGCAGCAGUGAGGAAUAUUGGUCAAUGGGCGCGAGCCUGAACCAGCCAAGUAGCGUGAAGGAUGACGGCCCUACGGUUUGUAAACUUCUUUUAUAGGGGAGUAAAGUGAGCCACGUGUGCCGUUUUGUAUGUACUUUAUGAAUAAGGAUCGGCUAACUCCGUGCCAGCAGCCGCGGUAAUACGGAGGAUACGAGCGUUAUCCGGAUUUAUUGGGUGUAAAGGGAGCGUAGAUGGGUAGUUAAGUCAGUUGUGAAAGUGUGAGGCUCAACCGUAGAACUGCAUGUGAUACUGGCAGCCUUGAGUACAGUUGAGGUAGGCGGAAUUCGUGGUGUAGCGGUGAAA